This 74-nucleotide transfer RNA is filed under the name Candidatus Magasanikiibacteriota bacterium. RNAcentral's name for it is "tRNA-Gln". It matches the Rfam family "tRNA". Rfam says of the family: Transfer RNA (tRNA) molecules are approximately 80 nucleotides in length. Their secondary structure includes four short double-helical elements and three loops (D, anti-codon, and T loops). Lineage: Bacteria; Candidatus Magasanikiibacteriota. The record is from RNAcentral.
UCCGAGAUCGUCUAAUGGUAGGACUUCGCCCUCUGGAGGCGAAUAUCAUGGUUCGAAUCCAUGUCUCGGAGCCA